This 349-nucleotide unclassified non-coding RNA is filed under the name soil metagenome. RNAcentral's name for it is "partial contains 5.8S ribosomal RNA, internal transcribed spacer 2, and large subunit ribosomal RNA". The stretch from base 3 to 119 matches the Rfam family "5.8S ribosomal RNA", at positions 38 to 154 of the family's 154-position model. The record is from RNAcentral.
GAGAAGAACGUAGCGAAAUGCGAUAAGUAGUGUGAAUUGCAGAAUUCAGUGAAUCAUCGAGUCUUUGAACGCACAUUGCGCCCCCUGGCAUUCCGGGGGGCAUGCCUGUCCGAGCGUCAUUGCUGCCCUUCAAGCCCGGCUUGUGUGUUGGGUCGUCGUCCCCCCCGGGGGACGGGCCCGAAAGGCAGCGGCGGCACCGCGUCCGGUCCUCGAGCGUAUGGGGCUUUGUCACCCGCUCGAUUAGGGCCGGCCGGGCGCCAGCCGGCGUCUCCAACCUUCUAUUUUACCAGGUUGACCUCGGAUCAGGUAGGGAUACCCGCUGAACUUAAGCAUAUCAAUAAGCGGAGGA